Molecule: long non-coding RNA, 2083 nt
Organism: Amblyraja radiata (thorny skate)
Lineage: Eukaryota; Metazoa; Chordata; Chondrichthyes; Rajiformes; Rajidae
Exons: 3
Source: RefSeq, a predicted model, not a curated record
CUGUAGGUUGUCGCCAGGUUACGUAGUUUGUCGUAGUGCUGACUUCGGUGAAUUCCAUUGGCGACCACCUACGUCCACCUAGGUCAACUGGCGACAGGUACCGGCGUCAAGAGGGACAGGCAUUGGAAAAACCCAAGUCCACAGAAGUCAAGCUACAACAGCCAGUCGGGAUGCUGAUGAAUGAAGUCCAUCUAUGCCUAUAUCGGGGACAAUCUACGACAAUGUACGACCAUAUCAACGACAAGCUACAACCAUACCGGCAACGACCUACGACAGCUGGCAACCAUCGGCGCCCCCGUGGGAAACGCUCCACAUGGUCACGCGACUAUAGUGUAUGGACAUUGUGCAUUUUGUGUUGGGGACAUUGGACAUUGGAUUGUGCAACAUGGCUCCAAGGAGAAGGAAGAGGCAGCACAAGGGCAAGGCCCAACCCCCGUCCCUACCCACAUCCACCAGGCAGAUGGAGACUGAGGAGACCCAGGAGGAGGAGUCCCAGGAGGAGGUGGCCCAGGAGGAGACCAGGUCCCCUCCACCACCCCAUCCCGGACUGGCCGCCCUACCAAGACUACAGGUACUACUGCUGCUGACCCAGACUCGCCAUCAGAUGAUGCUCAGGACACUGAUGCCUCAAGUGUCUCUAAUGUGUCCACUGUCCAGGAGGAGGUGAAGAAGGGCAGGAGACCCAAGGUAGUUCCUUAUGAGUUCAACAGGGAACAAGAAGGAGAGCUGGUCGAGUGGUAUCAGUCAAACCCAUAAUUGUAUGACAAGAACCACCAACAUUAUAGAAACAAGGACAGGAAGAACUCACUACUUGACACCAAGGACAAGGAAUUCCCUGACUGCAUCUGUAAGUGCCUACUUAUGGGUCUGUCCCACUUAGGCGAUUUUUUAGGGGACUAGGCUGUCGCCGGGGUGUCGCCUGUAUGGCCUCCUCAGUCGCCCAGAGAGUUGUACCUUUUUUCUGGUCACCGUUGGAUUUUGAAAUGUUCAAAGCUUUUCGGCGACAGUCGGCGCCCAUGGGCUUGUCGCUAAUGAUCAUAGCCUGAUAUAGGUGCUGUCGCCAGGAUAACGUAGGUUGUUGCCGGUGAUAACCUCGGUGAGAUACAUUGGCGACUACCUACACCAACCAAUGUCAUCCUGGCGACAGGUACCGGCAUCAAGAGAAGUCAAGUAGCGACAUUGGGAUAAUACAAGCCCUCAGCAUCACAUAAUCAGGUGAAUAUAGUGCGUGGACAUUCUAAAUUUUUUUGUUGGGGACAUUGUACUUUGAAAAAUGGCUGCAAGGAGAAGGGGCAGCCCAAGGGCAAGGUCCAACCCCCAUCCUCACCCACCAUGUAGGUGGAGAAUGUGGAGACCCAAGAGGUGGUCCCAGGAGGAGGAGGCGGCCAGGGAGGAGACCAGGGCAGUGGCCCGUGUCUCCACCACGACCCCACGGUCACCCCGCCCUGUCAAGACUACAGGUACUGCUGCUGCUGCUGCUGACCCAAGCUCAACAUCAGAGGAUGGUCAGGACACUGAUGCCUCAAGUGAGGUGAAGAAGGGCAGGAAACUCAAGGUACUUCCGUAUGAGUUCCGCAGGGAACAAGAAGGAGAGCUGGUCGAGUGGUAUCAGGCAAACCCUGAGUUGUACGAUAAGAACUGCCAACAAUAUCGUAACAAGGACAGGAAGAACUCGCUAUUUGACGAAAGCGAAGGAAUUCCCUGACUGCACCUAUGCUCAACUGUCAGUGGUUCAAGAGCCAAAGAACAAGAUAUGGCAAACUCUCACAGUGGGAACAAGUCAGGGUCUGGUGGCAAAAACUUUACCCCAAGGCAACAGUGGAUCAUCGACAAAUGGGCCUUUAUCAAAUCACAUAUUGUACGAGUGGAGAGUAGACAGAGCACCAAGAAGUUUGACAAGAAGAAGCCACUGCCCAGUGUGUCAAGUGAAGAGGAGUUUGAUCCACUUGAGGGAACCUCUGGAUCCACCACCUCCACUAGUCAGCAGCACAGCAAGAGGAGCAGGACCAUUGCCAGCUCCACUGCAGGCUACACCCCAAAUGCAACUGCGGUAGAGGAGAGAGGCAACUCAACAGCUGAUCAA